AAAUCGAUUCGAGUUCCUUAACUAUGCAUGGUGAAUCUAACCUCACGACAUCCGCGCACCACCGAGGGUCGCUUCCUGUGUCGGCCGUCCCCAUCAAUUCUCUGACCCGUGUCGGGCCCACCUGUCUUGGUGCAAGAUUCCACAGACCCGGCCUCUGCCGUUCCGUGACCACACUUGCCACCACAUGCGGCCAUAGGGGAAACUCUGUUCCAGAGAAUGUGGC
RNAcentral lists this long non-coding RNA (223 nucleotides) under Setaria italica (foxtail millet). Its description in RNAcentral is "long non-coding RNA (SITA_LNC002234)". The record is from RNAcentral. Lineage: Eukaryota; Viridiplantae; Streptophyta; Magnoliopsida; Poales; Poaceae.